CGAGGAGUUUCACGCGCCGAUCCGGAAGGGUCAAUAGGGUUGUACAUGUUGUAAUGGACGCGCUGGACGAGGCCAUGCAAGGGGGAGAUAUCGUGUGAGGUAGGGCCUUGAUUGGCAGCUGAGGUAGCGGGGAGGGGGAUGCCGACGAGUUGCUGAGUUUGGGGCGGAGAGAGGGAGUUAGGGUUGAAGAAAAGGAGGUUGCUGGCCUGGGGCGGUGGAGGGGUAUCGGAAUACUGAACAUAGGCAGGGUUCAUAAGUACAAGGGUUUGAAGGCCGUCAGUACUUGCUUGGAU
This 293-nucleotide long non-coding RNA is filed under the name Gossypium raimondii (Peruvian cotton). RNAcentral's name for it is "long non-coding RNA (GRAI_LNC007664)". Lineage: Eukaryota; Viridiplantae; Streptophyta; Magnoliopsida; Malvales; Malvaceae. The record is from RNAcentral.